Molecule: ribosomal RNA, 354 nt
Filed under: Salmonella enterica subsp. enterica serovar Infantis
Lineage: Bacteria; Pseudomonadati; Pseudomonadota; Gammaproteobacteria; Enterobacterales; Enterobacteriaceae
Description: bacterial SSU rRNA
Rfam family: Bacterial small subunit ribosomal RNA
Source: RNAcentral
UGCUGCUUUGCUGACGAGUGGCGGACGGGUGAGUAAUGUCUGGGAAACUGCCUGAUGGAGGGGGAUAACUACUGGAAACGGUGGCUAAUACCGCAUAACGUCGCAAGACCAAAGAGGGGGACCUUCGGGCCUCUUGCCAUCAGAUGUGCCCAGAUGGGAUUAGCUUGUUGGUGAGGUAACGGCUCACCAAGGCGACGAUCCCUAGCUGGUCUGAGAGGAUGACCAGCCACACUGGAACUGAGACACGGUCCAGACUCCUACGGGAGGCAGCAGUGGGGAAUAUUGCACAAUGGGCGCAAGCCUGAUGCAGCCAUGCCGCGUGUAUGAAGAAGGCCUUCGGGUUGUAAAGUACUU